This 360-nucleotide long non-coding RNA is filed under the name Monodelphis domestica (gray short-tailed opossum). RNAcentral describes it as "lncRNA (ENSMODG00000045271.1)". Lineage: Eukaryota; Metazoa; Chordata; Mammalia; Didelphimorphia; Didelphidae. The record is from RNAcentral.
UAAGAGAUGGAGCCAGGGCUUAGAGUCCAGGAUUUCAACUCCAAAUUCACUGCUGUGUUCAUUUUAUCACAGCCUGAUGAAUGAUAACCUAAGCUGCAUCUUCCCCAAGCUAAAUGCAAUCAGUUCUUUAAGCACUUCUCUUCAACUUCUAGCCAUUGAUUUUGAUUCUGUCUUCUGGUGUAAAUUAAAAUAAAUUUAAUAGCUCUUCAUUAUGAUAGUCCUUCUAAUGCUUCAAGACAGCUAUCAUAUCCAGUUUCUUUAACUGAUCCUUAUGUGACAUGAAAGGAAGACCCCUCAUGUGAUCCUAUUCAUCUCCCCCUGGACAUGCUGUAGGUUGCCAAUGUCCGUGUACCAUCCAAU